GGGUAAUGACCCAAACCUAUAUGGCCCCUGGAUUGGACUGCGGCCGAUCAGGCUGUUGGUGAGGUAAUGGCCCACCAAACCUGUAACCGGUACGGGCUCUGAGAGGAGGAGCCCGGAGAUGGGCACUGAGACAAGGGCCCAGGCCCUAUGGGGCGCAGCAGGCGCGAAACCUCUGCAAUAGGCGAAAGCUUGACAGGGUUACUCUGAGUGAUUUCCGUUAAGGAGAUCUUUUGGCACCUCUAAAAAUGGUGCAGAAUAAGGGGUGGGCAAGUCUGGUGUCAGCCGCCGCGGUAAUACCAGCACCCCGAGUGGUCGGGACGUUUAUUGGGCCUAAAGCAUCCGUAGCCGGUUCCACAAGUCUUCCGUUAAAUCCACCUGCUUAACAGAUGGGCUGCGGAAGAUACUAUGGAGCUAGGAGGCGGGAGAGGCAAGCGGUACUCGAUAGGUAGGGGUAAAAUCCGUUGAUCCAUUGAAGACCACCAGUGGCGAAGGCGGCUUGCCAGAACGCGCUCGACGGUGAGGGAUGAAAGCUGGGGGAGCAAACCGGAUUAGAUACCCGGGUAGUCCCAGCUGUAAACGAUGCAGACUCGGUGAUGAGUUGGCUUUAUGCCAACUCAGUGCCGCAGGGAAGCCGUUAAGUUUGCCGCCUGGGGAGUACGGUCGCAAGACUGAAACUUAAAGGAAUUGGCGGGGGAGCACCACAAGGGGUGAAGCCUGCGGUUCAAUUGGAGUCAACGCCGGAAAUCUUACCGGGGGCGACAGCAGAAUGAAGGUCAAGCUGAAGACUUUACCAGACAAGCUGAGAGGAGGUGCAUGGCCGUCGCCAGCUCGUGCCGUGAGGUGUCCUGUUAAGUCAGGUAACGAGCGAGACCCCUGCUUCUAGUUGCUACCAUUAUUCUCAGGAGUAGUGGAGCUAAUUAGAGGGACUGCCGUCGCUGAGACGGAGGAAGGAGGGGGCUACGGCAGGUCAGUAUGCCCCGAAACCCUCGGUACACACGCUGUCUCCAACGGUGAGGACAAUGAGUUUCGAUUCCGAAAGGAGGAGGCAAUCUCUAAACCUUACCACAGUUAUGAU
RNAcentral lists this ribosomal RNA (1075 nucleotides) under uncultured archaeon. RNAcentral describes it as "bacterial SSU rRNA". It matches the Rfam family "Archaeal small subunit ribosomal RNA", at positions 177 to 1254 of the family's 1478-position model. The record is from RNAcentral.